AGUGAACGCUGGCGGUAGGCCUAACACAUGCAAGUCGAACGGCAGCACAGUAAGAGCUUGCUCUUACGGGUGGCGAGUGGCGGACGGGUGAGGAAUACAUCGGAAUCUACUUUUUCGUGGGGGAUAACGUAGGGAAACUUACGCUAAUACCGCAUACGACCUACGGGUUAAAGCAGGGGAUCUUCGGACCUUGCGCGAUUGAAUGAGCCGAUGUCGGAUUAGCUAGUUGGCGGGGUAAAGGCCCACCAAGGCGACGAUCCGUAGCUGGUCUGAGAGGAUGAUCAGCCACACUGGAACUGAGACACGGUCCAGACUCCUACGGGAGGCAGCAGUGGGGAAUAUUGGACAAUGGGCGCAAGCCUGAUCCAGCCAUACCGCGUGGGUGAGGAAGGCCUUCGGGUUGUAAAGCCCUUUUGUUGGGAAAGAAAAGCAGCAGGUUAAUACCCCGCUGUUCUGACGGUACCCAAAGAAUAAGCACCGGCUAACUUCGUG
Molecule: ribosomal RNA, 492 nt
Filed under: uncultured bacterium
Lineage: Bacteria
Description: partial 16S ribosomal RNA
Rfam family: Bacterial small subunit ribosomal RNA
Source: RNAcentral